ACAAUCUGGGGGGGAAGGGGAGACCCAGCCUGGACCACCGACCUAAGGCUGCCCAGGGCGGCAGUCUCUUCUCAGCUCCCAGCCUCCCCUGGCGCCCCUCUUAAUCCCCGACGCACCCCUCACACCCCCCGCCCUGCGCCGCCGGCCACUGCCCCUCUCUGGAGCUUCUUCACGAGCCCAAGUGUUCAGGACACGUCCUCCCCAGCCACCGUCAGCAUCGUCUGCCUGCAGCCCCGGGGGGGUGGGGGCUGGGGGCUCAGAAAAGACUCCUGGAGAGCUGGACCCUUCUCUUGGCCACUUUUUCUCCAGUCUUGGCUUAGACAUGAUUCCCCGCCAGGUGCUGUGGCUCACGCCUGUAAUCCCAGCACUUUGGGAGGCCGAGGCGGCCGGAUCACGAGGUCAGGAGAUCGAGACCAUCCUGGCUAACACGGUGAAACCCCGUCUCUACUGAAAAUACAAAAAAAUUAGCCGGGCGUGGUGGUGGGCACCUGUAGUCCCAGCUACUCAGGAGGCUGAGGCAGGAGAAUGGCGUGAACCCGGGAGGCGGAGCUUGCAGUGAGCGGAGACCGCGCCACUGCACUCCAGCCUGGGCGACAGAGCGAGACUCUGUCUCAAAAAAAAAAAGACAUGAUUCCCUCCAGCAGAGGAGCCGCUGAUGUCCCGUGUAUGCCAGGCAUCUUCCUGGGGUGAGAAACAGCCCAGCCUGCAGGCUGACCCCCACCCUGCUGUGCCACGAGGACAGGGGCAUGUCCACAAAGCCGACCCUGCACCUGCACAGGACCUGGGACCCGUGGGGCCACCCACCCGUGCCUCCCUUCAUCCCGGCGCACUGCCUGUCCCGGCCCCCAGUCCCGAAGCCCUCAGGCUUUGAAUGUAGGUCUCUGGCUCCUUUCUCUUGCCCGUGUGUACGUGCUCCACCGCGCCGUGGCCUCUUCGACCCACACUCCUGCUUGGGCUCGCCCUCCUGUCUGUCCUUCAAGGGACCAUGGCAUGGGGGUGGGGAAGGGAUCUGGGGCACAGGGGGCUGGAAUAGAGCAUAGCACACUGCCAGAACUGUGAGGGGAGAUGGUGUCAGAGCUGAGCCCUCAAGGUGGGCAGGGAUCAAGCAGGUGCCUGAGGGCAGGUGGAGCAGAGGAGUCUGCAGUCCAGAACUGCAAAGGCAGGGAGGCGUGGGGGUGGUGGGAGAGGCACCCUCCCGGCAUGUCCUAGGCAGGGUGAGCCUGAGAGGGGGGCAGGCCCGCCCACCCUCAGCCUCCAGGCAGCAUUUUGUCUUUUAUCCCCAGGGGAAUCAGGAGCCAUUGAAGAAGUUGAUUUGCUUUAUAAAACUUUCAUUACAUUUUCCUGUUAUACAGCAGGGUCCUGUCAGACAACUAACUGCCCCAGACUUAAGUAGGGCUGGGUCAAGAGGGGCACUGGAGACCCCCUGUGGGAUGGGGGCAGCUUCCUCUCCUCCCUCCUGUUCUCUCUGCUUCCUGUGCUGUGCCAGGUGUGCUGGACGGUGUCCAGGGGAAGCAGGCCCCACCCCCACUUCCUUUAGUGGCUUUCAUUGACCUCACCGCACCCUCCUCCUUCAGGCCAGAGGGGGUGGAUGGGCUGUCUGGGGUGGGGACACUGAGGGAGGUCUGUGGGGCCCCCACCUUCAGUCUGGUGGACAUCUGGUACCCUCGAGGCUUCUCUGUCUCUCCGCCUGGCCAGAUGAUCUUCCUGUCAUUAGGGAUGACCUGGGGGUGGGAGUAUGAGAUGGAGGGUGGCCACGCAGGGGUCUUGGCCCCAGGACCCUAAGGCCCCAGCCCCCACCCCCUCAUGACCCCCACCUACGUGGGUGCCAUUGUAGAUGCCCACUUGCACCAGCUUGCGGUUCUGCAGGUUCAUGAUGCUGUAGUUGGCGAACUUCCGGUCCCCAUCCUCAUUGAACUCCACGCGACCAGUCACCCCAUCCGCAUACUUGGAAGACAUCAGCACUCUAGGGAAGGAAGCAUAGCUGAGGCUUCUCAGAGAUGCUCCUUCUCCUGCUCCUCCCUGCUCCUUCCCCCUGCUGCUUCUCCCUGCUCCUUCCCCCUGCUCCUUCUCCCUGCUCCUUCUCCUGCCGGCUGAGCAGCUUGGGCUUUUCCCUUGUCCCAGUCCCAAGAACGGAAAGAUCAGCAGACGCCAGACCCUGGACACCGUGGUAUCUGCCUGCACCAGAUGGACGGUGUGGUUCAUGACAGCUGAGUGGUUUAUGGGUGCCAGACCCGGCUUUCUGUGGGUUAGGACGUUGUCCUCAGAACCAUCCUGCCUUACAGAGACGGAGGCAGAAGCUCAGAAGGAUGCCUGCCCUCUUGCCAGCAAGUGAAGGCGAGGUUGAGCCAGCUCUAACCACCAGGCUGUCCUGUCCGGCUGUGUGUGCACGUGUGCAUUGUACCCAUCGGGCCACAUCAGUGAACCUGUGUGCACACGUGAUCCCUAUGUGGGGUGCACCCCAUGCAUGUGCUUGUGUCACAUGUGUGUCAUGUGCCUGAGUCUGUGUGCACACAUGGUUCUGUGUAUGUGUGUCGUGUGUGUGCACACGUGCUGCCUACAUCUGCACUUAUGUGGGCGUUGUGGAUGGUGGCUCUGCACGUGCUACUCAGUGGUUGGGGAUCUGGGGGUGAGCUGGCAUGGCAUGGUGUCCAGGCGUGCUGUGAGCUAACUCCUGCCACACUGCAGAUGUUCACUUGGGUCUCUGGGCCUUGGCCAACCCUGGCUGUCUAAGGCUCGUGUGCUGUUCUUGGGCUGCUUGUCUGGCCUCCUGGGUCCCUGGAAGCUUUCAGUCCCCAUCUGCAUCAAGAGCCUCCUCCCAAAGGCUGCCAGCCACACAGGGAGAGGGGUGCUGUUUCAGGGUGGGCUGCAGUGUGGAAAGUAGGGGCGGAGGCAGUGGAGCCAGUCCCCACUCCAGUGACGGCCCAGGUACUGGUGUCAGUGUUGAGAAGAGGGCAGAUGAUUGUGCCAUUAGAUGUGGUGGUGCUGGGGGUGUGGGGGGAGAGGAGAGAAGUAACAGUGUCCAGAGGAUGUUGGCAGCAGGCUCCACUGCAGUACCCCUGAGAGCGACGCCGCCCACCUCCUGGAAGCGACCCCGCCCACCUCCCCGAGAGUGCCCCCACCCAUCUCUUGAGGAGCGCUCCCCCAGCUCCCUAAGAGCGGCCCCGCCUAGUCCUGAGAGCUGCUCCGCCCAGCUCUGGAGAGUGGCCCCGCCCACCUCCCCAAGAGCGGCCCCGCCCAUCUCUGGAGUGACCCCGCCCACCUCCCCAAGAGCAGCCCCGCCCAGCUCCGGGGAGGCCCCGCCCACCUCUUGAAGAGCGGCCCGGUCUUCCAGAUGUUGGUGUUGCCCACGCAGCCCCGCGGCGGGUCGGUGAUGUUCUCCUUCUCGAGGAGCUCGUGCACGGCCUGGGCCACCACGCCCACGGCGUCGCUGAUGUGGGCCGACUCGUUCUUGCCGUUGAUGAGCUGCAGCCCGAGGAUGCCUAGGCGAGCAUGCGACUCAGAGCCCGUGGGGUCCUCCCCGUUCGGGGACCCCGCCAAGGCCCAGCACUCACCGUCUGGGGCGUAGCGCAGGGCGUUCCCCGAGAUCUCGCGCUCGCCGACCAGCCACACGUACCCGGAGCCCGUCAUGUUCAGCAUCGCGGCUGCGCGGUAUACAGUGGCAGCAUCGUCCUCGCUGUGGGGCAGACGGGGAUGACGGGCCAGGACUCCAGCACUCCCACCGCGGCGCUCCGCAGGCCCAGGUCCUCCUCCUCUGGAGCAGGGACCUGCCCAGCCCCCAUCCCCUCCUAGAGCGAAGCCUGCAGACCUCGCAGAGGCGCUGCGGCCCAGAACCCAGGAGCCUCCCAGGCCUCCGUUGCUGGCUCUUACCUUGGGGGAGCAGGGAUGGGGUUAGAUGCUGGCCCCCUUACCUUGGGGGAGCAGGGAUGGGGUUAGAUGCUGGCCCUUACCUUGGGGGAGCAGGGGUGGGGUUAGAUGCUGGCCCUUACCUUGGGGGAGCAGGGAUGGGGUUAGAUACCUGGCUUAUGGGACUGACUUCCUUCUUGUGACCUGCACCUGUGCUCCCCAGCACGCCCUUCCCUCCACCUCAGAAGGCUCUGAUGGGGUCCCAGGAUGGUAAUGGAUCACCAUUGAUCACUUGCUGGCCAGAUACCAGGCACUGCUCGAAGUGUUUUACGGGGAUUAUGUUGUUUAACUUUCACAAUAUCUCUGUGUCCCGAGGGGAAGCGGAGGCACAUGGGACACACAAGAGUUGGUAAGUGGCAGAGUCAGGACCCGAGCUCCUAAGACCUCCUAGACAGGCCACACCCCUCUGGUCCUCUAUGUUCAAACAUGUGAAAUGAGGGGUUGAGUGGCUCUCCAGGUUGGUGAGAUAUUGGUGGAUCCAGCGUCCUGGGGACGGCCAGAGAUGAGAGGCGGCUUUCCCCCUGGAGUCUGCAUAAGCAGCUGCCUUCGCCCAGCCACCCAGGCCUGGGGCCUGCAGGAGGACAGAGCCCAGACAGGCCUCACCUUGCAGGCAUGUGUGGUCUUGAGCUCUGCCAGUGUGCUUGCAGGUGGGCCCCUGUGGACAGUGGAGCAGGGGACCUGGUCCUCUGGGGCUGGGGCCUCUCUGGUUAUGACAAGGACCUGGAGACCUGGUGGGACUCUGGAGGCCUUUGGGGGGUCUUCCCUCACCCCCGUCUGUCAGACCUUUCUCUGCAGGGCCUGACCUGUCUCCAGGUGGGCCUGGACUACCCCUGACACUUUGCUUCUCCAGACAUGGGCAGCAGGGUUGGGUGGAUUGCCUGAGUGUUGGAUAAUUUUCACAAUACUUGACUGGAAACCAAGGUGGCCCUCCCCUCCUUGAGGAGGGAUCUGCCCCCAGUUUUCUCGAGAAUAAGCCCACAAAGAAAUGCAGCCCUUCGGUGUUUGCUCUACAUAACGAUGCUAUUGGAUGUCAGUGACACAAAACAGAAGUGCUCCCAGUAGCACUGGCCCAGUGCCCCAAAUGAGAGCAUCUAGCAGAGGCUCCGCACACUGAACACAGCACAGCUUGUCCAGCAAGACCCAACACCACACGUGUCAUGGCACAGCAUGCCCGCUAUCAAAGUGCCCACCAGGGCCUGACAGACAAGCCCGUCUUCUUGACGCAAUUCAGGUCCAUGACAUGUGAUGUGGUGGAAUGAUUAGGAGCAAAACAGUUGUAAACAAAAGCCUGAUCUGUCCAUCAAAACUCAUCCGAUCGUUUUAUGGAAAUAGCUGAUACCAAUCAAGAUGACUUCAGGAAAAUGAAAAGUUUUGGAAACAAAUUAUCUGCAUGCUAUGGAAAAUUGUCAAAAAUUAA
Long non-coding RNA from Homo sapiens (human), 5320 nucleotides. RefSeq lists it as uncharacterized. The transcript has 2 exons. NCBI's taxonomy places the organism in Eukaryota, Metazoa, Chordata, Mammalia, Primates, Hominidae. The record is from RefSeq and is a predicted model, not a curated record.